AGCUGGAUAGCUCAGUUGGUUGGACCAUUAGAGCAUGGUGCUGAUAACGCCAAGGUUGCAGGAUCAAGGGACAGCUGCAUAUUCCUACCUUGCAGGGGGUUA
Podarcis lilfordi (Lilford's wall lizard) is the source of this 102-nucleotide non-coding RNA. The record is from the annotation of a GenBank genome assembly. Lineage: Eukaryota; Metazoa; Chordata; Lepidosauria; Squamata; Lacertidae.